GACGAACGCUGGCGGUGUGCUUAACACAUGCAAGUCGAACGGAAAGGCCCUGCUUUUGUGGGGUGCUCGAGUGGCGAACGGGUGAGUAACACGUGAGUAACCUGCCCUUGACUUUGGGAUAACUUCAGGAAACUGGGGCUAAUACCGGAUAGGAGCUCCUGCUGCAUGGUGGGGGUUGGAAAGUUUCGGCGGUUGGGGAUGGACUCGCGGCUUAUCAGCUUGUUGGUGGGGUAGUGGCUUACCAAGGCUUUGACGGGUAGCCGGCCUGAGAGGGUGACCGGCCACCUUGGGACUGCGAUACGGCCCAGACUCCUACGGGAGGCAGCAGUGGGGAAUAUUGCACAAUGGGCGGAAGCCUGAUGCAGCAACGCCGCGUGCGGGAUGACGGCCUUCGGGUUGUAAACCGCUUUCGCCUGUGACGAAGCGUGAGUGACGGUAAUGGGUAAAGAAGCACCGGCUAACUACGUG
This 468-nucleotide ribosomal RNA is filed under the name uncultured bacterium. RNAcentral's name for it is "partial 16S ribosomal RNA". It matches the Rfam family "Bacterial small subunit ribosomal RNA", at positions 28 to 507 of the family's 1533-position model. The record is from RNAcentral.